This 187-nucleotide ribosomal RNA is filed under the name uncultured Algoriphagus sp. Its description in RNAcentral is "partial 16S ribosomal RNA". It matches the Rfam family "Bacterial small subunit ribosomal RNA", at positions 338 to 523 of the family's 1533-position model. Lineage: Bacteria; Pseudomonadati; Bacteroidota; Cytophagia; Cytophagales; Cyclobacteriaceae. The record is from RNAcentral.
CCUACGGGAGGCAGCAGUAGGGAAUAUUGGGCAAUGGACGAGAGUCUGACCCAGCCAUGCCGCGUGCAGGAAGACGGCGUUCUGCGUUGUAAACUGCUUUUAUACGGGAAGAAAAGGCCCAUGCGUGGGACAUUGCCGGUACCGUAUGAAUAAGCACCGGCUAACUCCGUGCCAGCAGCCGCGGUAA